GUUUGGGUCAUAAAGUCAGAGAGCUCUACUGCACAGAAACAGACUCUUCAGCCCAAUUUAUCCAUGCCGAAUAAAUUGCCUAAUUUAGCUAAACCACUUUGCCUCUGUUUGGCUUACAUCCCUCUGAACAUUUUCUAUUCAAUGUCUUUUAAAUUUCAUAAUUGUACCCACCUUUGCAGCUUCCUUGAGCAGUUCGUUCCAUGUAUACACCACUCCUUGUGUCCCUUUUAAAUCUUUCUCCUCUCACCUUAUAUUUAUGCCCUCUAGUUUCAGACUCCCUUACCCUGGAAAAACAACUGGGCAUUUGGCUUAUCUAUGGUCCUCAUGAUUUUUUCAGUCAAUAUAAGGUCAUCUUUCAAGCCUCUCCUCAUAACUCAAACCCUCCAGCCCCAGUAACGUUCGUGUAAAUGUUGCUUCUCUUAAUUUCUUGAAUUGUGAACAAAGAUGACAAGAGCAUGAAAUUGGCAAUGAAGCAUUUAAGGAAGAAAUAUAAUUGGACAGUGUGAAGGUAGAAUAUAUAUAGUUGUGGAAAAGUGAGGGGGGAAGGCCCAUGUAGAGUGUAAAAUGUUACAGGCUAAUUGGUCCACAUGUUUUUUAUGCUGUACAUUUUGUGUAAUCCUAUAUUUUAAAACUUUUUGGUCAUUGCAUUGUUGAUAGCUUCCUGGAAGGUGAGGUAUUGAGCCAGUUUUGUUACAAGGGUUUUUUCAAUGGGAGAGGUUAUAGAAGGUGGCUAGAGGACACAUCCUUAACAAUGCUUCAGGCUGCCAAGGAGUCACAUUCAGUUGUAAAACAGAAUAUACUGCAAAUGCUGGGCAGGUCAGACAACAUGAGUGGAGAAAGGAACAGUGCUCGUGAAAGGUUUCUCACAUAUUUGGUGUUUUGCUUUGGAGCCUCCAUUUAGUGCUGAGGAACAAAGCUGAAUGCAAGAGAUGUUGCCAUAUCUGCUGAGUGUUGGACACAGUAUUGGAAGAUCUGGCCAUUGGACAUUUCUGAAUUAUGUAAUCUAAUAUUAAAGGCAAACACGAGGAAAUCUGCAGAUGCUGGAAAUUCAAGCAACACACACAAAA
This is a long non-coding RNA of Hypanus sabinus (Atlantic stingray), 1067 nucleotides long. RefSeq lists it as uncharacterized. The transcript is spliced from 3 exons. NCBI's taxonomy places the organism in Eukaryota, Metazoa, Chordata, Chondrichthyes, Myliobatiformes, Dasyatidae. The record is from RefSeq and is a predicted model, not a curated record.